CUAAAGUUAAGCAUCAUUGGGCGCGGUCAGUACUUGGGUGGGUGACCACCUGGGAACACUGCGUGCCGUU
Non-coding RNA from Caerostris darwini, 70 nucleotides. NCBI's taxonomy places the organism in Eukaryota, Metazoa, Arthropoda, Arachnida, Araneae, Araneidae. The record is from the annotation of a GenBank genome assembly.